UCUAGGUGGGAGUCUUGGUUGAAAUUGGUUUGUUGGUGCAGAACCCAACAAUUUUUAGUUAGACGGAAAGACCCCGGGAGCUUUGACUUGUUCUUUAUCUGGGGCGGAGGCAUAUUUUUCAUGUGUUUUGAGAUCCUUUGUGGGUAAAAGAGUUAAGUUACCCCGGGGAUAACUAGGUAAGAGGCGAGGAGAGGUCUCAUCGAUUCGCCUGUUUGCCAUCUCGAUGUUGACUUGAGGGUAGUAGGGGGGUGUAGAGGCUCCCUUGUUUUGGUCUGUUCGACCUUGGUCCCUUUCAUGAGCUGAGUU
This 306-nucleotide ribosomal RNA is filed under the name Metagonimus otsurui. RNAcentral's name for it is "partial large subunit ribosomal RNA". It matches the Rfam family "Bacterial large subunit ribosomal RNA", at positions 2019 to 2611 of the family's 2925-position model. Lineage: Eukaryota; Metazoa; Platyhelminthes; Trematoda; Opisthorchiida; Heterophyidae. The record is from RNAcentral.